Molecule: unclassified non-coding RNA, 396 nt
Filed under: uncultured fungus
Lineage: Eukaryota; Fungi
Description: partial contains 5.8S ribosomal RNA, internal transcribed spacer 2, and large subunit ribosomal RNA
Rfam family: 5.8S ribosomal RNA (bases 1-53)
Source: RNAcentral
GAACGCACAUUGCGCUCUUUGGUAUUCCGAAGAGCACGCCUGUUUGAGUAUCGAAAACACCAUCACGACUUGGUCCCGGAGUUCGCUCCGGUCGACUUCGAGACGUGGAUUUGGAUUGUUCAGCAACUUCGCUGGCUAUCUUAAAGAAGAGCGUUGGAAGCUGGAUCUCCUUAUUGCUGGGAUCGCUGCCCGAAAUGUUAUGAAUUGAGAUCUCUCCCCUUCUUCUCCUUCGGGAGGGGGUCGAGGGAGUUCUUCAUUUUUCUUUCUUGCAGCUCGAGCCUGGUGGAGAACCGGUCGACCGAUUCACCCACUACCACACGAGGGGUCGAGGGCGGUUGUCUCACGAUUCGUCGAAUACUUGGUCUCAAAUCAGGCGGGAAAACCCGCUGAACUUAA